GCUCCCAUCGUCUAACGGUUAGGACACAAGCUUUUCAAGCUUGGUAUACGGGUUCGAUUCCCGUUGGGAGUACUA
This 75-nucleotide transfer RNA is filed under the name Bacteroidota bacterium. RNAcentral's name for it is "Bacteroidetes bacterium (microbial mat metagenome) tRNA-Glu". It matches the Rfam family "tRNA". From Rfam's summary of the family: Transfer RNA (tRNA) molecules are approximately 80 nucleotides in length. Their secondary structure includes four short double-helical elements and three loops (D, anti-codon, and T loops). Further hydrogen bonds mediate the characteristic L-shaped molecular structure. tRNAs have two regions of fundamental functional importance: the anti-codon, which is responsible for specific mRNA codon recognition, and the 3' end, to which the tRNAs corresponding amino acid is attached (by aminoacyl-tRNA synthetases). tRNAs cope with the degeneracy of the genetic code in two manners: having more than one tRNA (with a specific anti-codon) for a particular amino acid; and 'wobble' base-pairing, i.e. permitting non-standard base-pairing at the 3rd anti-codon position. The record is from RNAcentral. Lineage: Bacteria; Pseudomonadati; Bacteroidota.